ACGCGAGGAACCUUACCAGGUCUUGACAUCCUCUGACACUCCUAGAGAUAGGACGUUCCCCUUCGGGGGACAGAGUGACAGGUGGUGCAUGGUUGUCGUCAGCUCGUGUCGUGAGAUGUUGGGUUAAGUCCCGCAACGAGCGCAACCCUUGAUCUUAGUUGCCAGCAUUUAGUUGGGCACUCUAAGGAGACUGCCGGUGACAAACCGGAGGAAGGUGGGGAUGACGUCAAAUCAUCAUGCCCCUUAUGACCUGGGCUACACACGUGCUACAAUGGACGGUACAAACGGUUGCCAACCCGCGAGGGGGAGCUAAUCCGAUAAAACCGUUCUCAGUUCGGAUUGUAGGCUGCAACUCGCCUACAUGAAGCCGGAAUCGCUAGUAAUCGCGGAUCAGCAUGCCGCGGUGAAUACGUUCCCGGGCCUUGCACACACCGCCCGU
This 439-nucleotide ribosomal RNA is filed under the name uncultured bacterium. Its description in RNAcentral is "bacterial SSU rRNA". It matches the Rfam family "Bacterial small subunit ribosomal RNA", at positions 959 to 1397 of the family's 1533-position model. The record is from RNAcentral.